RNAcentral lists this ribosomal RNA (468 nucleotides) under uncultured bacterium. Its description in RNAcentral is "SSU rRNA". It matches the Rfam family "Bacterial small subunit ribosomal RNA", at positions 26 to 521 of the family's 1533-position model. The record is from RNAcentral.
AGCCUGAACGCUGGCGGCGUGGCUAAGACAUGCAAGUCGAACGGGUGUAGCAAUACACCAGUGGCGGACGGGUGAGUAAUAAAUCGCUAAUGUACCCCGGAGCCAGGGAUAGCCUUCCGAAAGGGAGGGUAAUACCUGAUGAGACCACGAACAGGCAUCUGUUUGUGCUCAAAGCCGUAAGGCACUCUGGGAGCAGGCGAUUACGUAUCAGCUUGUUGGUGAGGUAACGGCUCACCAAGGCGACGACGCGUAGCUGGUCUGAGAGGACGGCCAGCCACAUUGGGACUGAGACACUGCCCAGACUCCUACGGGGGCUGCAGUAACGAAUCUUCCGCAAUGCACGAAAGUGUGACGGAGCGACGCCGCGUGUAGGACGAAGUCCUUCGGGAUGUAAACUACUGUCAGGGGUAAGAAAGUUCUGAUCUACCCAGAGGAAGAGACGGCUAACUCUGUGCCAGCAGCCGCGGU